RNAcentral lists this ribosomal RNA (255 nucleotides) under uncultured bacterium. Its description in RNAcentral is "partial 16S ribosomal RNA". It matches the Rfam family "Bacterial small subunit ribosomal RNA", at positions 217 to 470 of the family's 1533-position model. The record is from RNAcentral.
GCUAUCAGAUGAGCCUAGGUCGGAUUAGCUAGUUGGUGGAGGUAAUGGCUCACCAAGGCUACGAUCCGUAACUGGUCUGAGAGGGAUGACCAGUCACACUGGAACUGAGACACGGUCCAGACUCCUACGGGAGGCAGCAGUGGGGAAUAUUGGACAAUGGGCGAAAGCGUGAUCCAAAAGUGCCGCGUGUGUGAAGAAGGUCUUCGGAUUGUAAUUAAAGGGAGUUGGGAGGAAGGGCAUUAACCUAAUACGUUA